GUCACUUCUUAGGGUUUUAUUUCUCGAAAUUUCUGGAGAUAACUCUUUUUCAAAGAUUUUCACAAGCAGAGAAGUUGACGACAUCCUUAAAAUAUGAUCCUGGAAAGCGCUUGAAUCCGUAUGGAAUAAUCGUUGGGAAUGUGGAUGUGGAGAAACCAUCAUUGACAGAUUGAACAGCUAAAGAAGUAGCAACAUAAAACAGAUAAGUUCUCUCAUCUACUGUCAGACUCUUAUAUACUUUUCUUUAAGUUCUAUGAAACUCCAAAAAGAUCAAAGGCAGGCAUUAAUCUAAUAGUGUUCUGCCAGAAUCUUAUUUGGAGACAUUGUCCCGACUCCCUAUUGCGUGAGGCUUAGACCCAGAGGAGAUUUAAACCAUGACCCUUGGUUUGGUAGUGCAUGUCUAUGCAAGAGAUGUUUGGGGGAUGGAAAGUAAAACACACGGCUUUUCAAAAACAACCGUCGGCUUAAAAAUAGUCUUUAGACGGAAAAUGACUAUGCCUAAGGCAACGAAAUGAGGGAUGGAUAAAGGGUGACAAAGUUUAGUACCAACGGCUUAAAAAGAAGUCUUUAGACAGAGACUGUGAUUGAAAACGCCUUCAUCACAUUAGUAGUACACACGGCUUGCCAAAAAAGGUCUUUUGACAAAGAUUGUGAUUGGAAUAUGUUUUCAUCACAUUAGUAGUACCCACGGCUUGCCAAAAAAGGUCUUUAGUACCAACGGCUUAAAAAGAAAUCUUUAGACAGAGGCUUAAAAAAAAAAGUCUGCUUACAAGAAAGUCUUUUGAAAGAAAAUGACUAUGUCUAAGGCUAUGACAUCGUUGGAAGGAUUCAUCAACACAAAGGAUCAGAUUUGGUUUUGAACUUGUUGAAUGGAAAUAACGAUCACAAGUCAUGAAAACUAAUUGUCCCGAGUCCCGUUGCGUGAAAUGACGAUCACAAGUUACUCAAAUAUGAUUGGAAAAUCUUGCUACCCACGGAUUUACUAAGGGGUUUUAGUACCAGCGGCUUAAAAAGAAGUCUUUAGACAGAGACUGUGAUUGAAAACGUCUUCAUCACAUUAGUACACACCGCUUGCACAAGAAAGUCUUUUGACAAAGACUGUGACUGAAUAUGUUUUCAUCACAUUUGUACCCACGGCUUUCCAAAAAGGUCUUUAGACAAAGACCUUUAACUACCAACGGCUUUAAAAGUCUUUAGACAGAGGCUUAAAAAAAGUCUUUACCCACGGCUUGCAAGAAUGUCUUUUGACAAAGAUUGUGAUGAAAAUGUAUUCAUUACAUUAGAGUACCCACGACUUAGAAAAGACCAAUGGCUUAAAAAAAAUUUAGACCAAGGCUACGAGAUCGUCCCAAUGGCUCUAAAACAGUAUUGGUUGGUAGUGCAUGUCUAAGCAAGAGACAUUUGGGGGAUGGUAAAGUGAAAUAUGCUUUAGUACCCACGGCUUUACAAAAACAACCAUCGGCUUACAAAAUGUCUUUAGACAGAAAAUGACUAUGUCUAAAGGCUAUAAUAAGAUCAUUGGAAGGAUUCAUUAACACAAAGGAUAUGAAUUGUUUUUGAACUUGUUGAAUGGAAAUAACAAUCACAAGUCAGAAAACUAAUCUUGCUACCCAAGGCUAUAAUAAGAUCAUUGGAAGGAUUCAUUAACACAAAGGAUAUGAAUUGUUUUUGAACUUGUUGAAUGGAAAUAACAAUCACAAGUCAGAAAACUAAUCUUGCUGCCCAAGGCUUAAAAACAAGUCUUUAGACAGAGGUUGUGAUUGAAAAAAUGUAUUCACUACGUGAGUACCCACGGCUUGCAAGAAAGUCCCGAGACAAGGACUGUGAAUCAUAAAAUUAGUACCACAUGGCUUGCAAAAGGUCUUUAGACAAAGACUGUGAUUAUAAACGUUUUCAGCCCAUUUGUACCCACGGCUUUGCAAAAAGGGUCUUUAGACAGAGACUUUGAUUAAAACAUCUUCAUCAUAUCUGUACCCACGGCUAAUGAAAAGUAUUAAGACAAAAGGCUUGCCAAAAAGGGUCUUUACACAAAGACUGUGAUUGAAAACAUAUUCAUCACAUUGUACCCACGGCUUUGCAAGGAAGUCUUUAGACAAAUACUGAGUGAACACGUCUGCAUCACACUAGUACACACUGCUUGCAACUGUGAUUGAAAACGUCUUCAUCACAUUAGUACCCACGGCUUGCCAUAAAAGGUCUUUAGGCAGAGACUGUGAUUGAAUACGUCUUCAUCACACUAGUACCCAAGGCUUACAAAACUACCUACGGCUUAUGGGUUGGUUUAGACAAAUAUUGGUACAUACGACUUGAGAGAAUCGAAACCGAAUCCAUUGCUUACACACGACUCUAUGAAAAAAAUGAUGUUCGGUGAUGCGAAGUAUGACAAAACUUAGUACCAAUGUCUUACCAAACAACUUUUUAGACAGAGACUGUGAUUGUAACCCACGGCUUAUAAAAGGUUGGAUUCAUCAAGUACUCACGGCUUAAAAAAAUGUAGACAAACACUCUAAAUCUAAACCAGAUCCUUUGCUUACCCACAGCUCUAUGAUGCAAAGGAUGUUUGAGGAUGAAAAGUGUGACAAAAUUUAGUACCAACAGCAUAAAGAAAAACAAGUCUUUAGACAGAGACUGUGAUUGUAAACGUACAUUGCGUUAGUAUCCGCGGCUUACAAGAAAGGUCUUCAGACAUAAAAGAAUGUGAUUGUAAAAUUAUUCAUCACAUUUGUACCCACGGCUUGCAAGAAAGGUCUUCAGAUAAAGACUCUGAUUGAAAACGUCUUCAUCACAUACACCCACAGCUUCGCAAAAAAAAAAAAAAAAUCCUUAAGACUGAAUGUGUUGCAUGGGAUCAAACGACCACAACUUAAAAAGAUCCUCUAGACAAACAAAGACUAGUUGGAUGGAUAAAACGACCAGCGACUUUGCAAAAAAGUUUAAGACAAAGCUCUGAGGUCGUUUCAAUGGCUUAAGAAAAAGGCUUUGAGAUGACUGUGAUAUUAUUCAUUAGCUCACUACCUACGGCUUAGAAAAGGUCUUAAGACAAAGACAAUGGUUUUGAACCUUUUGGAUCGAAACAAUGACCACCUGUUAUGAAGAGUCAUUGUAAAUUCUUGCUAGCCACGGCUUGCAAAAAGUACUAAGACAAAGGCUGGUAACUGAAAACGGAUUCAUUGCAUGAGAGAAGUCUUCAAACGAAGUCUCUAUGAAUCAAAUGAUGUUUUCAUCACAUUAGUCCCGAGUCCUGUUGCGUGAAAUAACGGUCACAAGUCAUGAGAAGUAAACUCACGGCUUAAAAACAAGUCUUUAGACAGAGAUUGUUUUCAUCACAUUAGUACCCACGGCUUGCAAAAAAGUCUUUUGACAAGGACUGUGAAUGAAUAUGUUUUCAUCACAUUUGUACCCACGGCUUUCAAAAAGGUUUUUACACAAACUGUGAUUGAAAACGUCUUCAUCACAUUUGUACUCACGGCUUGCAAAAAAAAAGAAGAAGAUAUUUUGACAACGACUGUGAUUGAAAACGCCUUCCACACAUUAGUACCCACAGCUUGCAAAAAAAAAAAAGUCUUUCAAUGAAGACUGUAACUGAAAACGUAUACAUCACAUUUGUACCCACGGCUUUGCAAAAACGUUUGAGACAAAGACAUUAAGUGAACACGUCUUCAUCACAUUAGUACUCACGGCUUGCCAAAAAAGACAUAGACUGUGAAUGAAAACGUCUUUCAUCACAUUUGUACCCACGACUUUGCAAGAAAGUCUUUAGACAAAUACUGAGUGAACACGACUUUACCAGUACCCACGGCUUGGAAAACUUCUGUUGGAUGGAAAAACGACCAACUUCUCAGAAAACGUUCGAGGCAAAGACUAUGAGUUUAAAAAAAAAUUAUAAUAAACCACGGCUUAGAGGUUGGAUUCAUUAAGUACCCGAAAACUAAUUCUUCACACCAACCACAAGGCUUAAAAAUUACUAGACAAAGAACAAACAAAAAGAUCAGUUUAAAACAAAGAGCAAAAACAGACUCCUUACUAAAGUUAAGCCUUGUCAAAGCUUUUAGAAAAAAGACUACACGCCAAGUUUUUGGCUUGUUGGAUGGUAAAAACGACCAACAACUUAAACCAAUUUCAAGAUAGAGACUAAACCAAAUCGAGUUUUAGCUUGUUUGGAUGGUAAAAACGACCAACAGCUUAAACCAUGUCUUAAGACACUAUGAACCAAAAUGUGAUUCCUCACCUCACUAUGUACGGCUUAGGAAGUCCCUAUACAAAGACUUAUGUCAUAGUUACUUCUUACAGGGUAAUAACUCACAAGAUAACUUUUUUUUGAACUUAAAGACUAAUUAGUUAUGAUUUCCUCAGGUUUUGUAUGUGCUUCAGAAGACUCAGAGAUGAUUUCAAGUGUAUCAGAUUUUUUUAACCAGGUAUGUGCUUUUCAAACAUGUUUGCUACUUAGUCGAUACAUUCAAUUAUGAAAAUCACAAGCAGGAGAGACUGAUAUGAAGUGAAGACUAAUUACAUUUGUUUAGGUACGUUCUUCACAAACUGUUCAUAUCUUCAUUGACGCCAAGGAUUUACCCAGGUAUAUGCUUUUCUUCACUUUUUAUCGUACAAAAUGAUAUUGUUACAUAUGAAUACAAACUAAGUUAAGUGAUAUAUGCGUAAAUGUAAAGGAAUUGGAAAGCUCUGUUAUUAUCUUUGACAAUGUUUCUCUCAUUGAUCUAGCAUUCAUGAGAUUCUAGAAACUGAUUGUUAACAUAUCCAUUGAUGAGAAAGUAGAUUCUUUUUUCAUAUUGGAACAUUAUAUUGUGUUUAAAGUGUAAUCUCUCUCUCUCUCUGUUCUCUUUAGUUUGGUGCUUGUAUGUAUUGAUAAGGUCUUUUAUUUUAAUGAAAUUGAUGUAUGUUAGAGUUUCUUGUAGAUCGUCCUAAAGUUGAGAGACUCCUGCAAAUUGUGGUUGUAGUUUCUUUGAAUCUUGAAUGUUUUUGAUUUGUGCCAUGCGUUUAACCCUCAGUGGUCAUUCUAAACGUGUUAGAAUCUCUUUAUCUUGGUGAUUUUCUGUAUUAUAAGGUCUCUCAUUUUUUGAAAUAUAUGUAUCUUGGACUCUGGCAGAUCAAUAUAGGUGGGAGAUUCCAUCUGUUGUUGUAGCUAGUAGUUCUGUUUUUGAAUCUUGAUGAAUAUUUCUAUUUUGUGAUAUGCUCUUAAGCCUCAGUGAUAAUUCUAAAUGGUGUUAGUAUCUCUUUAGUUUGGUGCUUUUAUGUAUUUUAAGGUCUCUCUUUUAUGAAUUGGGUAUGUUUUAGAGUCUCUUUGUAGAUUAACAGGUGAAACUCCUAUAGAUUGUGUGAGUAGUUUCUUUGAAUUUUGAAUGUAUCUGUUUUUUUGUUAUGCCUCUCCUACUCUCAGUGAUCCUUCUAAACUGCGUUAGUAUUCUGUAUGUUGAUCAGAAAAAAUUAUUCAAAAUUAGUUUGGUUCUUGUAUGUAUUAUAAUGUAACUGAUUUCUAUGAAGUCACUUCUAGAUCAACGUAUGAGAGAUUCCUGCAGAAUGUGGUCGCAGUUUCUUUGAAUCUUGAAUGUUUAUGUUUUGUGUUAUACUCUUAACCCUCGGUGAUCAUUGUAAACAUGUGAAAUGAUUUCUCCACAACUCUGCAUAGGAGGCUAAAUGAUUACUGUGUUAGAUUCUAUAAAUUGUAUAUGUUGACUUGAGUUUUUAGUUUUUACAAUAACAAUGAUUGGAAAUUUCUCAUGGUCUCUAAGUCUUGGCAACAUUUCUGUCAUUGAUUUAGUAUUCUGUGAGAAUGUAGAAACUUAUUGCUUGUUAAUCCUUGAAAACAUCAAGCGAUAUAUACUUAUAAGAAAAUACAAUUUAAGCAUCAGAAAUGUUUUUUAAAGAACUAAUCAUUAGUAACUAUCUUUGAUUUAGUAUCUGUAGCAUUCCGUGUUACAAAAGAAAAAAAAAUUGUCUGUAGGAUUCUAGAAACUGAUUGAUAAUAUUCAUGAAAACGUAUAUUUUAUCCUCUGGUAUCAGAACAUUAGUUGUGUUUAGAUUGUUACUUUGUUUGUUGCUUGUAUGUAUUUUGGAUUUAGAGAUUAACGAAGGAUAAAAUCUUUCCGCUUGUGGUAAUAGUUUUCUUGAAUCUUGAAUGUUUAGGUUGUGUUUUAAUACUCUAAAUCCUCUGUGACCAUUUCUAAACAUGUGAAAUGACAAGUUCACAAUUCUCAUAUGCUGAUGAUUACUGUGUUACAUUCUAUAAUUGUUACAUCCUAUCCCUUUUGUCUCCUAGUCUUACAGGCACAGUUGAUGAAACUUGAAAUUUUUAAAUCAUUGUGAGUAGUUAAGAUUGUGCAAUUGAUCUUGCAUUUUAGUUCACUACUGGUCCUUCUUUGUUAUGUCUGAUUGUGAUCUUGAUUUUCUAAUAUGUUCGAAUUAUAUAUCAUCUUAACUCUUUUUUUAAAUAGGAACAUUUAGUAAAUUAUCUAUUAUUUUCUUGAAAUAUAUUUUGAUGAUAAACUAUAAUACGUGUUUUCCAAAUAUAUUUUGUAAGUAGUUUAACUAUUUGGAAUUGUUGGUGUCAUCUAUUUUAUUAAAGUUGAAUUACUUUUUAAAAAUAACUCUUCUUUCAUCUUAAUAAUUACAAUUAGGGCCUACCGUAUUUUAUUUGUUUUCUAGGUUUUUAUUU
Brassica napus (rape) is the source of this 6667-nucleotide long non-coding RNA. RefSeq lists it as uncharacterized. The transcript is spliced from 3 exons. Lineage: Eukaryota; Viridiplantae; Streptophyta; Magnoliopsida; Brassicales; Brassicaceae. The record is from RefSeq and is a predicted model, not a curated record.